UUUGCAAAGAUGGGGAACCAUGACCCUCUGUUCUUCCACAGUUGCCCUGACUGCGAGGUUCGGCCCUUCAGCGUGGGCCACAGGAUUGGCAGAGGCAGAGAUGGCUUUCCUAACGUGGUCCAGGGGAGUCCAUAGGGAAUAAUUACACAGGAACCCGCCUCACCACCCAGGUAUCUUCCCGCUGUCCAUGUGACCACACAAGGCGACAUUCUGCCAUGAGAACAUGAUGCUCUGCGAGAACUAGCUGAGCAACACGCAGCUCCGUACUGAGAAAGCUCCUUCCAAACUGUAAGACUACAGUCCAGAAGGAAAUGAAACAUGAAGGUCGGUGCCUCCUGGAAGGAAAGGAACAGCAGUAAGUGAUCUGAGCCCAGCCUCUGCAAGAUUCCGCGGUCAACUCUGCUUUCUUAAGUGACCAGAAAAGGCUUGGGCACGUGAGUCACAGACCCUCACAGACUCUCAUGAAGGAGGGCCGUGGGACUCCUGCGUGUGGGGUGUGUGCACACAGGAAGCCUGAAGUUGCAGAGGAUCAUCAGCGGUCCAGCCAGCCACCUGCCCAGGGAGACUUCAGAGGCUUGACCUGGAAGGAAGGAGCCACCAAUUUCCCACCAUGACGACUGCCAAGCUAUGGGAAUGCUUCAUCGUUCCAUUUACAGGGUCUAAAUAUUAAACUGCCAAAGUUGUAAUUGGGGUUGUUUCUCCAGCCUGAGACAAACGCCUGAAGCUUCUUUUAAUGACUGUGAAAUAUGGCUUGUCAUUAAAUGAUCAGAUGUGAUAAGUCCUAGAAAACCUGAAAGAGGUUAAGCAUGAAAUAACCAUUUUU
Ictidomys tridecemlineatus (thirteen-lined ground squirrel) is the source of this 823-nucleotide non-coding RNA. The record is from RefSeq and is a predicted model, not a curated record. NCBI's taxonomy places the organism in Eukaryota, Metazoa, Chordata, Mammalia, Rodentia, Sciuridae.